GAAUCCAAUGGAACUUUGAAUGAUUCUGAGUGGGGUGUAGUAGCAGAUUCGAGUCCCGUGGAGAUACAAAUACAGAAUUUAUCUACCCCACCUUCAAAUACUCUUCUGUGGGAUUUCUGCUGAAUAAACAGCUACAUGGAAACUUAAGAGCUAGUCUGGAAAACGAGAUCUCAUAAGGGGAAAAAAGGUGACCAAAAUGGAUGAGAAGAUGAAGGAUGUC
Long non-coding RNA from Hyaena hyaena (striped hyena), 220 nucleotides. RefSeq lists it as uncharacterized. NCBI's taxonomy places the organism in Eukaryota, Metazoa, Chordata, Mammalia, Carnivora, Hyaenidae. The transcript has 2 exons. The record is from RefSeq and is a predicted model, not a curated record.